GGUGUGGGAUGGGCCCGCGGCCUAUCAGCUUGUUGGUGGGGUAAUGGCCUACCAAGGCGACGACGGGUAGCCGGCCUGAGAGGGUGACCGGCCACACUGGGACUGAGAUACGGCCCAGACUCCUACGGGAGGCAGCAGUGGGGAAUAUUGCACAAUGGGCGCAAGCCUGAUGCAGCGACGCCGCGUGAGGGAUGACGGCCUUCGGGUUGUAAACCUCUUUCGCCAGGGACGAAGCGCAAGUGACGGUACCUGGAGAAGAAGGACCGGCCAACUACGUGCCAGCAGCCGCGGUAAUACGUAGGGUCCGAGCGUUGUCCGGAAUUACUGGGCGUAAAGAGCUCGUAGGUGGUUUGUCGCGUUGUUCGUGAAAACUCACAACUCAAUUGUGGGCGUGCGGGCGAUACGGGCAGACUGGAGUACUGCAGGGGAGACUGGAAUUCCUGGUGUAGCGGUGGAAUGCGCAGAUAUCAGGAGGAACACCGGUGGCGAAGGCGGGUCUCUGGGCAGUAACUGACGCUGAGGAGCGAAAGCGUGGGGAGCGAACAGGAUUAGAUACCCUGGUAGUCCACGCCGUAAACGGUGGGUACUAGGUGUGGGUUUCCUUCCUUGGGAUCCGUGCCGUAGCUAACGC
RNAcentral lists this ribosomal RNA (631 nucleotides) under Mycobacterium sp. Its description in RNAcentral is "bacterial SSU rRNA". It matches the Rfam family "Bacterial small subunit ribosomal RNA", at positions 217 to 858 of the family's 1533-position model. Lineage: Bacteria; Bacillati; Actinomycetota; Actinomycetes; Mycobacteriales; Mycobacteriaceae. The record is from RNAcentral.